Molecule: long non-coding RNA, 635 nt
Filed under: Zea mays
Lineage: Eukaryota; Viridiplantae; Streptophyta; Magnoliopsida; Poales; Poaceae
Description: drought responsive lncRNA
Source: RNAcentral
AUUUGUGUUUAUGCACACCCCAACGUUGACUCCUCUAAAAUGCCCGGCAGAGAGAAAAACUGGUGAUGUCAGAUGGGCAUUUUAUUAAGGAGCCAACUUAGGGUGUGCGUAAACCCUAAAUAUUCUCUUGGUGGUGGUGGAAACCCUAGCUGUCGAAUCCGCCGCCGGCGAGACGGCUGCCGCCCAGGCGCCUCAGCGGAAGAAAGAGACGCUCCAUGAGCUGCUCUCGAGGCACAAGACAAAAUUGAAGUGAAGUAUAAUUUGGAACGAAUCUACUGUAGCACGCGGGCGAGAGAAGAAGGCCAUAGCUAGAGGGGGAUCAUAGCUGCACUGCUGCUGGUAGGCUUUUAGCCUCGAAGUAUCAGGGUCUCAGUGGAUGCCAAACUGGGACCAAUCAGAACCACACUGCUGGACUGGUCGUCCUACGGCUGGUGAAAUUUCUUGAAAGACAUUUUGCUACUAUUUUGGUGAUAGGUAUGUUUUGUUUUUGCUGACGCUGAAAGAUUUGUAUUAGUACUGAAUAGGUUAUGGGCAUGUUUGGUUCAGCUUUUUUCUGAUUCGCUUUUCCGAGAAUCUAGCUGUGAGUAGAAUCUGGCUGUGUAGAGAAUCUGAGUAUCAUUAGGAUUACAUGCGGA